UAUUGAUUAUAAUUUUAAGUCUAAUCUGCCCAAUGAGUAAUUAAAUGGCUGCAGUAUUUUAACUGUACAAAGGUAGCAUAAUAAUUAGUUUCUUAAUUAGGAACUGGAAUGAAUGAUUGGACGAAAUAGUGACUGUCUUAGUUUAAAUUUUAGAAUUUUAUUUUUGAGUUAAAAAGCUUAAAUGUUUUUAAAAGACGAGAAGACCCUAUAGAAUUUUAUAUUAUUUGAAUAUUUUGUUAUUGGGAUUUUAAUAUAGAAUUUUUUAAUUAGUAUUUAGUUGGGGUGAUUGAAAAAUUUAAUAAACUUUUUUUUAUUAUUAACAUUAAUAUAUGAUUGUAUGAUCCAGUUUUUCUGAUUAUAAGAUUAAAUUACCUUAGGGAUAACAGCGUAAUUUUUUUAAAGAGUUCUAAUCGAUAAAAGAGAUUGCGACCUCGAUGUUGGAUUAAAGUUUAUUUUUAAUGCAGGAGUUAAAAUAUUAGGUCUGUUCGACCUUUAAAACUUUACAUGAUCUGAGUUUAAACCGGUGUGAGCCAGGUUGGAUUCUAUCUUUAAUUAAAUUAAAUAUUUUAGUACGAAAGGACCAAGUAUUUAUUAUAAUAGUUUUAUUAGAA
RNAcentral lists this ribosomal RNA (611 nucleotides) under Troglocharinus quadricollis. RNAcentral describes it as "16S ribosomal RNA". The stretch from base 379 to 537 matches the Rfam family "Bacterial large subunit ribosomal RNA", at positions 2473 to 2632 of the family's 2925-position model. Lineage: Eukaryota; Metazoa; Arthropoda; Insecta; Coleoptera; Leiodidae. The record is from RNAcentral.